This 253-nucleotide ribosomal RNA is filed under the name uncultured bacterium. RNAcentral describes it as "partial 16S ribosomal RNA". It matches the Rfam family "Bacterial small subunit ribosomal RNA", at positions 524 to 776 of the family's 1533-position model. The record is from RNAcentral.
UACGUAGGGGGCAAGCGUUAUCCGGAUUUACUGGGUGUAAAGGGAGCGUAGACGGCAUAGCAAGUCUGAAGUGAAAGCCCGUGGCUCAACCGCGGAACUGCUUUGGAAACUGUUAAGCUGGAGUACUGGAGAGGCAAGCGGAAUUCCUAGUGUGGCGGUGAAAUGCGUAGAUAUUAGGAGGAACACCAGUGGCGAAGGCGGCUUGCUGGACAGAGACUGACGUUGAGGCUCGAAAGCGUGGGGAGCAAACAGG